RNAcentral lists this ribosomal RNA (688 nucleotides) under uncultured bacterium. RNAcentral's name for it is "bacterial SSU rRNA". It matches the Rfam family "Bacterial small subunit ribosomal RNA", at positions 59 to 749 of the family's 1533-position model. The record is from RNAcentral.
CAGUCGAGCGAGAAGCUCGUGACGGACGCUUCGGUUGAAGUCACGAGUGGAAAGCGGCGGACGGGUGAGUAACGCGUAGGCAACCUGCCCUUUGCAGAGGGAUAGCCUCGGGAAACCGGGAUUAAAACCUCAUAAUACCGCAGUGAGACAUCUCACGGCGGUCAAAGAUUUAUCGGCAAAGGAUGGGCCUGCGUCUGAUUAGUUAGUUGGUGGGGUAACGGCCUACCAAGGCGACGAUCAGUAGCCGACCUGAGAGGGUGAUCGGCCACAUUGGAACUGAGACACGGUCCCAACUCCUACGGGAGGCAGCAGUGGGGAAUAUUGCACAAUGGGGGAAACCCUGAUGCAGCAACGCCGCGUGAAGGAUGAAGGCCUUUGGGUCGUAAACUUCUGUUCUAAGGGAAGAUAGUGACGGUACCUUAGGAGCAAGUCCCGGCUAACUACGUGCCAGCAGCCGCGGUAAUACGUAGGGGGCAAGCGUUAUCCGGAAUUAUUGGGCGUAAAGAGUACGUAGGUGGUUUUCUAAGCACGGGGUUUAAGGCAAUGGCUUAACCAUUGUUCGCCUUGUGAACUGGAAGACUUGAGUGCAGGAGAGGAAAGCGGAAUUCCUAGUGUAGCGGUGAAAUGCGUAGAUAUUAGGAGGAACACCAGUGGCGAAGGCGGCUUUCUGGACUGUAACUGACACUGA